This 253-nucleotide ribosomal RNA is filed under the name uncultured bacterium. Its description in RNAcentral is "partial 16S ribosomal RNA". It matches the Rfam family "Bacterial small subunit ribosomal RNA", at positions 524 to 776 of the family's 1533-position model. The record is from RNAcentral.
UACGGGGGGGGCAAGCGUUGUUCGGAAUUACUGGGCGUAAAGGGCUUGUAGGUGGCCAACUAAGUCACACGUGAAAUCCCCAGGCUUAACCUGGGAACUGCGUGUGAUACUGGAUGGCUUGAAUCCGGGAGAGGGAUGCGGAAUUCCAGGUGUAGCGGUGAAAUGCGUAGAUAUCUGGAGGAACACCGGUGGCGAAGGCGGCAUCCUGGACCGGUAUUGACACUGAAAAGCGAAAGCCAGGGGAGCAAACGGG